GUCGGUGUAGGGGUGAAAUCCGUUGAUAUCGAUAAGAACACCAAGGGCGAAGGCGGGUAACUAGGCAUUUCUUGACGCUGAGGAACGAAAGCUAGGGAGCAAAAGCGAUUAGAGACCGCUGUAGUCCUAGCCGUAAACGAUGCUCGCUAGGGAUGGGGAAUUUAUUUUCCGUCUCGUAAGCUAACGCGUUAAGCGAGCCGCCUGGGGAGUACGGUCGCAAGACUAAAACUCAAAGGAAUUGACGGGGACCUGCACAACCAGUGGAGCAUGUGGUUUAAUUCGAGACGAACCGAAGAACCUUACCUGGAUUUGACAUACUAGUUGCACAUCUCUAGAGAUAGAGACUCUUUCGAAGGUACUAGAACAGGUGCUGCAUGGCUGUCGUCAGCUCGUGUCGUGAGGUGUUCCCUUCAGUGGGGUAACGAGCGCAACCCCCGCCGUAUGUUGAAUAUUCAUACGGGACUGCCCGAGUCAUUCUCGGGAGGAAGGCGGGGACGACGUCAAGUCAGCAUGGCCCUUAUAUCCAGGGCUACACACAUGCUACAAUGGAGCCGACAAUGGGUCGCCAAGUGGUAACACGGAGCUAAUCCCAUCAAACGGCUUCUCAGUGGGGAUUGAGGGCUGCAAUUCGCCCUCAUGAACGUGGAAUUGGUAGUAAUCGCGGAUCAGCUAUGCCGCGGUGAAUACGUUCUCAGGUCUUGUACACACCGCCCGUCAAGUUAGUGAAGUUGGAAGCACCCGAACCUCGAUUGUAUCGGGGGAAGGUGAGACCAGCGACAAGAAUUAAGUCGUAACAAGGUAUCCGUUCUGGAAGGAGCGGAUG
Molecule: ribosomal RNA, 823 nt
Filed under: metagenome
Description: bacterial SSU rRNA
Rfam family: Bacterial small subunit ribosomal RNA
Source: RNAcentral